Scatophagus argus is the source of this 1035-nucleotide long non-coding RNA. RefSeq lists it as uncharacterized. The transcript has 6 exons. NCBI's taxonomy places the organism in Eukaryota, Metazoa, Chordata, Actinopteri, Scatophagidae. The record is from RefSeq and is a predicted model, not a curated record.
UUAGGAUGCAUUGUUGUCUGUAUUACUUUAGUAGUCAUUGUAUUACAUUCACAAUUUCAGCAGCAGACAAUUUAACCGCUAGUGAGAGACCUACGACUGAUUUGAAUUCCAAGUACCUGCCAGCGACAACCACCUCGACAACCACUUCUGACUGGAUGAAUCAGACCUCCGUCUUUGCAAGUGAAGCACCUACAGCUCAGGGUGGAUCGAGUUUCACCAUCCGUCUGAGCUUGGUUGUCUCCUUUAUAAUGGUGACCUUAUUCAUCUGGUUUAUGGUCAAAAUACACAAACAGACCAAAGACUCAUCAGCCAUGACAACGGAACAACAAGAGGAAGUAAGAUGCACGAGAAAAACAACAGGACAUGUACAAUGCGUGACUUUUAAAACCAAUAAGUAAUAUAUGCAACAGAAUCAUAUAAAAAUGGACAUUGCAGAGAGUGAUGUGGAAGAAACGUACAUCUCUGUGGUUAAAGCAACAGAUAUAAACUACAUACUGUGGUUCAGUAUCUUCUGCAGACCACAGGGUCAAGUCAAAGUGUAGACCUUUAACUGAGUUUUUAUCUUUUCCUUUUUUCCAAACUUACAUUAUGUUUGCAUUCCAAAAGUUAUGUAUUUAUAUUUAUUUUUAUCACUAGCAUAUUAUUGACAGAAAUAAUCAGUCAACAGUGGUUUUUUGUCAGUUGCAGUUGUUGCUACUGAUAUAGGUCAGUACUUCUAGAGGUGUUCUCUUGAAAUUUUGGGUCUACUGACUUUACACCCAGUAUACAUAACAUGCAUAUUAUUUGCAGUGAUUUUCAGUUGCAGUUGUUGCAAAAUUGAUUUUUGAAUUUUGGGUCUUCUGACUUUACACACAAUACACAUAACAUGCAUAUUAUUUGCAGUGAUUUUCCAGCUACUUUGAAAUUGUAGCUGCUUAAGCUGAAAGCUACUCUUCGUUUGGGGAAGUAGUUAAAUUUGUGUCGAAAGCAGCAAGCAACACAGAAAGCUUCUAAGAAUAUGUAACUGAAAACAUUAUUUUUAAUCCAGUUAUCGCU